UUGGCUCGCAACAUUCUCAUACUAUAUAAUGCUCCAAAUCAAUAAUGAAAGACUAAGAAAGAAAAUGGAUGGAUGAUAUAUAUAUUAUUAGGAUCUCUCUUGCGCCUUCAAUCUCUUUUUAUUUGCCUUCUC
This 132-nucleotide non-coding RNA is filed under the name Thalassiosira minuscula. The record is from RNAcentral. Lineage: Eukaryota; Bacillariophyta; Thalassiosirophyceae; Thalassiosirales; Thalassiosiraceae.